CAAGAAAAUUCAAAAUGGCCGACAUAUAUAUAUAUAUAUUCGAAGGUCAAACUUUUCUGGAUCCAGUAUAUAUAUAUAUAUAUAUAGGAUGGUGCCACUCUUUGUGACACAAGAUUAGGCAAUCAUAGUACAAUAUGAACUGACUUGUGUUUCAGAUUGCUUUGGGUAGGAGGCAAUCCAUCUAGGAGAAAGAAAGCUCGGAUUUCAGACCCCACCUUUGGACAAUACAUGUGACUAGGCAAAAAAGAAAUAUGUGGGUUUCCGGUUUCCUCUUGUAAAAACUUAGGUAGGGUAGGUCGGUUUUAACUUUUUUUUUAAAACUUUUUUUUUUAAUUUUCCUAACAACCGGACGCCAUUUUGUUUAGUCAGUGCUUCCACAUCCAAACAUAAAUUUCCCUAAUAUUGCCUCAAAUUUUCAUUUUCCACAAACGUUUUGCUCUAAGUGGAAACACUUACAAGCGUGAUCCAAUAAAAAAGUUUAGGGUCGGGAUUUCGACGUCCAAAAGCUAGGUAGGGUCGGGAAACCGGAAACCCACAUAUUUUUUUAUUUGGCCCUACAUGAUCAUUAUAGCUUGGAAAUUAGGUUAAAUUCUUAAAGAAAAGCGACUCAUUUUUGGUAUGCGAGGUAUAAAUUACAUGUAUAUACAUGUAUAUAAAUUGUGCACAAAUUAUCUAACUAAUAGCUAUGUGUAAAGCUAUACUGUAAAGCUGCUAACACUUUAUUUAUCUCAAUGACAUUUUCAGUGUUCUGGAUCAUUUUCACUACUUUGUGAAGAG
Molecule: non-coding RNA, 777 nt
Organism: Paramuricea clavata
Lineage: Eukaryota; Metazoa; Cnidaria; Anthozoa; Malacalcyonacea; Plexauridae
Source: the annotation of a GenBank genome assembly